RNAcentral lists this transfer RNA (633 nucleotides) under Lynx pardinus (Iberian lynx). The stretch from base 464 to 535 matches the Rfam family "tRNA". The record is from RNAcentral. Lineage: Eukaryota; Metazoa; Chordata; Mammalia; Carnivora; Felidae.
GGGAGUCCACAUCCUCCGCGGCGGCGACAUUGGGUCACUCCUGGGGGAAUCAGCAGGGACUAUAACCCCUUAGGAGCGCCCCCUUCAGAUCCGGGGUCGCUGCAAAGAUCUCCCAGGCACAGGAGAUGGGCAUCCUAGGAAUGGUGGUUACACAACUUGUGGACACUGAGUUCCGGACGGUCCCGUCCCUGGAUGCCCACGUGGUCCCCCUAAACGCCCACCUCAUUCACACGGAACCCACCAUUCCCCACUCCAACAUCAACACUUUCUGUAGCUAAUGGACCAAAACCCGAGAGAGCGAGAGCGACUGGCGAGAGCGCACUGCGCCUGCGCAUUCCCAGAAUCUGUGUUACGCUGGAACUCCGCCCUAUAGGUGGAUCUUUUGGUGACGUGCAGAGCGGGAAGGCCUAUGACUGCUGAAGAGGACAAUCAGAAGGCGAUCCUUACAGGUCCCCGGUAGCUCGCCGUGAUCGUAUAGUGGUUAGUACUCUGCGUUGUGGCCGCAGCAACCUCGGUUCGAAUCCGAGUCACGGCAUUGUGGGAACAAUGGCACGGCAAGGGGCUUGUCCUUUUAGUUUUUUUUUUUCUUUUUGUGGACAACGUUUUAUAUUGAUCACAACUCGCUUUCUUGAA